AGAUGUAAAUUAACUGCCAAAAAUUUGAGAAGAAUCAAACAUGAAGCUACCAAGAACUCAUUAUCUUCUGGUGUUGUCAUAUUCCAGAACUGCAACCUGCUUGGAAUUCCAGAAGUACAAGAUGUUCAGAACUCAGAGACAUGGUCAAGGUAAGGAAGGCUGAAACCUGACCACCACUGAACAAGACACACUGUUGAAACAUCGAAACUGGAUCAAGACAGAUUUGAAGACAGAUUUUUCAAAGCUUUUUGGACUGAUGAGAUGAGUGACUCUUGACGGACCACAUGGAUGGACCUGUGGCUGGAUCAGUAAUGGGCACAGAGCUCCACCUCACAUCAGACGGCAGCAAGGUGAAGGUGGGGUAGUCCUAUGGGCUGGCAUCACUAAAGAUGAAAUAGUUGGACCUUUUCAGGUUGAAGAUGGAUUCAAAAUCAACUCCCAAACCUGCUGCCAGUUUUAGAAGACACUUUCUUCAAGCAGUGAUACAGAAAAAUGUCUGCAUCUUUCAAGAAGACCAUGGUUUUUAUGCAGGACAAUGCUCCAUAACAUGCAUCAAACUACUCCACUAUGUGUCUGGCCAGUAAAGGUCUUAAAGAUGAAAGAACAAUGAAGUGGCCCCCUUCCUCACCAGAACUAAACCCCAUUGAGAACUUGUGGGCCCUUCUUAAACAGUUCACAUCUCUGAUCAGUGUCUGGGAGGCUGUGGUUGCUGCUGCACAAAAAGUUGAUCGUCAACAGAUCAAGAAACUGACAGACUACAUGAGUGGAGGACUUAUAACUGUUAUUGAAAAGAAGGGUGGCUAUAUUGGUCACUGAUUUAUUUUUCAAAUGUCAGAAAUGUUUGUCAAUUUUUAAUUGUAUAUUUAUUAUUCUCACUUUAACAGAUGACAAUAAACAAGUGAGAUGGGAAACUUUUCAGUUUAAAUUCAGUUGCCCAAUAAUCCUUCACAUAUAGAUAUUGUCUUAAAAAAGCCAAAAUCUCACUUUUAUUUUCUUAAAUAUUCAGGUCUGAGAGGUUAUUAACAUUUUGGAUUGACUAAGAGCACAGUAAAUGUUCAACAAUAAAAUUCAUCCUCAAAACU
Molecule: long non-coding RNA, 1082 nt
Organism: Xiphophorus hellerii (green swordtail)
Lineage: Eukaryota; Metazoa; Chordata; Actinopteri; Cyprinodontiformes; Poeciliidae
Exons: 2
Source: RefSeq, a predicted model, not a curated record